UGGGGAAUCUUGGACAAUGGGGGCAACCCUGAUCCAGCCAUGCCGCGUGAGUGAUGAAGGCCUUAGGGUCGUAAAGCUCUUUCGCCUGUGAAGAUAAUGACGGUAGCAGGUAAAGAAACCCCGGCUAACUCCGUGCCAGCAGCCGCGGUAAUACGGAGGGGGUUAGCGUUGUUCGGGAAUUACUGGGCGUAAAGCGCACGUAGGCGGACCAGAAAGUUGGGGGUGAAAUCCCGGGGGCUCAACCCCGGAACUGCCUCCAAAACUAUUGGUCUAGAGUUCGAGAGAGGUGAGUGGAAUUCCAAGUGUAGAGGUGAAAUUCGUAGAUAUUUGGAGGAACACCAGUGGCGAAGGCGGCUCACUGGCUCGAUACUGACGCUGAGGUGCGAAAAGUGUGGGGAGCAAACAGGAUUAGAAUACCCUGGGUAGUCCACACCGUAAAACGAUGAAUGCCAGUCGUCGGGUAGCAUGCUAUUCGGUGACACA
This 483-nucleotide ribosomal RNA is filed under the name uncultured bacterium. RNAcentral's name for it is "bacterial SSU rRNA". It matches the Rfam family "Bacterial small subunit ribosomal RNA", at positions 355 to 850 of the family's 1533-position model. The record is from RNAcentral.